CGGCCGCCGCCCUCCCCGGCGCAGCCUUCGGCGAGCAUAGCCCGCGCCCCCGAGCGCCUUUGUGCGUUCCGCGGGAACCCGCGCCGGGCCUUUUUACCUAGGGUUGGAGACCUUGCGACGGGGAACUCCCUCCUCAUCCGGCGCAGUGGCCGAGCGACUGAGAAACCGCCUGAAGAGCACUCACUCCGCGGCAACCACAACCGGGCGUCCCCGCAAGCUGGUCUCUGAGGGAGGGGGUAUUUGGCCACAUCUGGAGAUGUUCCUUACGCAAACGACUUGGAAGGGCAAGGGGGUUCUCACACGAGCGGACUGACGUUAGCAAUACCUCUGAGCAGCCUCCGGGACACAGGGCAGCUACUGAAAUAAAGAACAGUGCCAAGUCUGAGAAGGACUGGGAGUUUACCUUACACAAAGGAGAGAUGUGGUACUGAGGAGAAGGCUCAAAGGCUUGCUGCUUUC
This 459-nucleotide long non-coding RNA is filed under the name Rattus norvegicus (Norway rat). Its description in RNAcentral is "long non-coding RNA NONRATT012990". The record is from RNAcentral. Lineage: Eukaryota; Metazoa; Chordata; Mammalia; Rodentia; Muridae.